AAUACUUAGGAAUCUGCCUAUUAAUGGGGGACAACAUCUCGAAAGGGAUGCUAAUACCGCAUACGCCCUACGGGGGAAAGCAGGGGAUCACUUGUGACCUUGCGUUAAUAGAUGAGCCUAAGUCGGAUUAGCUAGUUGGUGGGGUAAAGGCCUACCAAGGCGACGAUCUGUAGCGGGUCUGAGAGGAUGAUCCGCCACACUGGGACUGAGACACGGCCCAGACUCCUACGGGAGGCAGCAGUGGGGAAUAUUGGACAAUGGGGGGAACCCUGAUCCAGCCAUGCCGCGUGUGUGAAGAAGGCCUUAUGGUUGUAAAGCACUUUAAGCGAGGAGGAGGCUCUCUUGGUUAAUACCCAAGAUGAGUGGACGUUACUCGCAGAAUAAGCACCGGCUAACUCUGUGCCAGCAGCCGCGGUAAUACAGAGGGUGCGAGCGUUAAUCGGAUUUACUGGGCGUAAAGCGUGCGUAGGCGGCUUUUUAAGUCGGAUGUGAAAUCCCCGAGCUUAACUUGGGAAUUGCAUUCGAUACUGGGAAGCUAGAGUAUGGGAGAGGAUGGUAGAAUUCCAGGUGUAGCGGUGAAAUGCGUAGAGAUCUGGAGGAAUACCGAUGGCGAAGGCAGCCAUCUGGCCUAAUACUGACGCUGAGGUACGAAAGCAUGGGGAGCAAACAGGAUUAGAUACCCUGGUAGUCCAUGCCGUAAACGAUGUCUACUAGCCGUUGGGGCCUUUGAGGCUUUAGUGGCGCAGCUAACGCGAUAAGUAGACCGCCUGG
RNAcentral lists this ribosomal RNA (771 nucleotides) under Acinetobacter guillouiae. RNAcentral's name for it is "bacterial SSU rRNA". It matches the Rfam family "Bacterial small subunit ribosomal RNA", at positions 112 to 876 of the family's 1533-position model. The record is from RNAcentral. Lineage: Bacteria; Pseudomonadati; Pseudomonadota; Gammaproteobacteria; Moraxellales; Moraxellaceae.